AGCGAACGCUGGCGGCGUGCUUAACACAUGCAAGUCGAGCGAAGGUGUUUCAAGGGUAACCUUGAGAUACACUUAGCGGCGGACGGGUGAGUAAUACGUGGAUAACUUACCUCUAGGCCUGGGAUAACCCCGGGAACGUGGGCUAAUACCUGAUAAGACCACAUUGUCUACGGACGAAAGGGGUAAAAGGUGGCUGUGCAAACAGCUAUCGCCAAAAGAUAGGUUCACGUCCCAUCAGGCAGUUGGCGAGGUAAUGGCUCACCAAACCAAAGACGGGUAGCCGGCCUUGGCGGGUGAACGGCCACACGGGGACUGAGACACGGCCCCG
RNAcentral lists this ribosomal RNA (328 nucleotides) under uncultured bacterium. RNAcentral describes it as "bacterial SSU rRNA". It matches the Rfam family "Bacterial small subunit ribosomal RNA", at positions 29 to 334 of the family's 1533-position model. The record is from RNAcentral.